UGGGGAAUAUUGGACAAUGGGCGCAAGCCUGAUCCAGCAAUGCCGCGUGUGUGAAGAAGGCCUUCGGGUUGUAAAGCACUUUUAUCAGGAGCGAAACGCUGUCGGCUAAUACCCGGCGGAACUGACGGUACCUGAGGAAUAAGCACCGGCUAACUUCGUGCCAGCAGCCGCGGUAAUACGAAGGGUGCAAGCGUUAAUCGGAAUUACUGGGCGUAAAGCGUGCGUAGGCGGUUUCUUAAGUCUGCUGUGAAAUCCCCGGGCUCAACCUGGGAAUGGCAGUGGAUACUGGGAGGCUAGAGUGUGUCAGAGGGUGGUGGAAUUCCCGGUGUAGCGGUGAAAUGCGUAGAGAUCGGGAGGAACAUCAGUGGCGAAGGCGGCCACCUGGGACAACACUGACGCUGAGGCACGAAAGCGUGGGGAGCAAACAGGAUUAGAUACCCUGGUAGUCCACGCCCUAAAGCGAUGCGAACUGGAUGUUGGUCUCAACUCGGAGAUCAGUGUCGAAGCUAACGCGUUAAGUUCGCCGCCUGGGGAGUACGGUCGCAAGACUGGAAACUCAAAUGAAUUGACGGGGUCAUAGCUGUUUCCUG
Molecule: ribosomal RNA, 590 nt
Filed under: uncultured bacterium
Lineage: Bacteria
Description: partial 16S ribosomal RNA
Rfam family: Bacterial small subunit ribosomal RNA
Source: RNAcentral